Molecule: long non-coding RNA, 1196 nt
Organism: Solanum pennellii
Lineage: Eukaryota; Viridiplantae; Streptophyta; Magnoliopsida; Solanales; Solanaceae
Exons: 2
Source: RefSeq, a predicted model, not a curated record
CUAUAGGCUAAUGACAUAUGGAUUUUUUUGUUCAUCUUCUAAAGAUAAUUACCAUAUCAUCAAUAUGAGCUAUUUUGGAGAUGAAUUUCCUCCUCCUCUUUCAUUGAUUGCAAUUUUCGCGAUUAUCAUUGUGUACAUGUUGAUUUGUUAUCUCGUUCUUGAUCUAAUCGAUCAACAACAAGGCGAUCCCAACGAUGAUAUAGAUGUUGCUCAUGACUCGGGUUUAUCUCUUGAAGAGUUGCAAGAAAUCAAUUGUUUCUACCUCAAAGGACAAGUGAAUUACUCAGUGUGUGCUAUUUGUUUGGAUGGUCUUGUUGAUGCAGAAUUGUGCAGAAGUUUUCCAGCUUGUAACCAUAUGUUCCAUGCUCAAUGUAUUGAUCCUUGGUUAGCCAAAAAAUCAACUUGUCCAACUUGUCGAACUCCUUUUAGACCACGAUUUUCAUUCUUAAAGUAAACAGAACAGUCAAGACUUAUAGUCUAGUGGUAUCAGUAACAGUGAGAAUAUAAUUAAAUAAUAAAUACGAGGUUAUAAUUCUUGUUUCAAUGGACGUGAGUGAAUAUAGAUGGAUCAAGUGUGAACAUUCACACAUUAUUGUCAUUGAUGUUACUCAACAAUCAACUACUCUAAGAAAAUCCUAUCUAUUCAAAUGAGUUCCUCUGCUGCUGAACUCCCAUCCCCUCUUUUUUUGGUUGCUAUUAUCGCGAUUAUCAUGGUAUAUAUGGUAGUUUGUUACCUCGUUCUUGAUAUGAUUGAUCAACAAGUAGAUUCCCACGAUGAGAUAUCUCGAAUGGAUGCUUAUGACUUAGGAUUAUCAGUUGAAGAGUUGCAAGGAAUCAGUUGCUUCUACCUCGAAGGACAAGCUAAUUCAUCGAUGUGUGUCAUUUGCUUGGAUAGUCUAUGUGAAGCAGAAUUGUGCAGAAGUUUUCCUCCUUGUAACCAUGUGUUCCAUGCUCAAUGUCUUGAUCCUUGGUUAGCCAAAAAAACAACUUGUCCAACUUGUCGAACGCCUUUAAGACCAUAAUUUUCACUCUCAUCAGAGUAAGAAAUUAUCUGUAUCUUCAACAUUCAUAUACUGUUUACUUGUAUUAUGUUCUCAUAAGUUCAUAGUAUUCUCCAGCUUUUGUCACUACUAAAAUGACCUGUUUCAUGAUGUAAAUGAAAGAUAUGCAUUAUUUUUUCGCCUUUUUGAUUCUUA